RNAcentral lists this ribosomal RNA (257 nucleotides) under Staphylococcus aureus. Its description in RNAcentral is "partial 23S ribosomal RNA". It matches the Rfam family "Bacterial large subunit ribosomal RNA", at positions 1227 to 1482 of the family's 2925-position model. The record is from RNAcentral. Lineage: Bacteria; Bacillati; Bacillota; Bacilli; Caryophanales; Staphylococcaceae.
GGGAGGAGAGCGUUCUAAGGGCGUUGAAGCAUGAUCGUAAGGACAUGUGGAGCGCUUAGAUGUGAGAAUGCCGGUGUGAGUAGCGAAAGACGGGUGAGAAUCCCGUCCACCGUUUGACUAAGGUUUCCAGAGGAAGGCUCGUCCGCUCUGGGUUAGUCGGGUCCUAAGCUGAGGCCGACAGGCGUAGUCGAUGGAUAACAGGUUGAUAUUCCUGUACCACCUAUAAUCGUUUUAAUCGAUGGGGGGACGCAGUAGGA